GUUGCAGUUAAAAGCUCGUAGUUGGAUUUCGGAAGGUCUUUAGUGGUCCGCCCCUUCGGGGAGCGGGUCACUGGCCUCCUAUGUUCCUAACGGUCCUCAUCCGCGAGGGUGGGGAAUCAACCGCUAGGAUCGUUUACUUUGAGGAAAUUAGAGUGUUCAAAGCAGGCGUAACUCGCCUCCGAAUACGUUAGCAUGGGAUAAUGGAAUACGACUUCGGUCUUGUUUCGUUGGUUUCGCUUGGCUGAAGUAAUGAUUGAUAGGGACAGUUGGGGGCAUUAGUAUUUAGUUGUCAGAGGUGAAAUUCUAGGAUUUACUAAAGACUGACCAAUGCGAAAGCAUUUGCCAAGGAUGUUUUCAUUAAUCAAGAACGAAAGUAGGGGGAUCGAAGACGAUCAGAUACCGUCGUAGUCUCUACCGUAAACUAUGCCGACCAGGGAUCCGGAGAGUUUGCAUGGAUGACUCCCCGGGCACCUUGUGAGAAAUCAUAAGUGUUUGGGUUUUGGGGGGAGUAUGGUCGCAAGGCUGAAACUUAAAGGAAUUGACGGAAGGGCACCACCAGGAGUGGAACCUGCGGCUUAAUUUGACC
This 586-nucleotide ribosomal RNA is filed under the name Vermamoeba vermiformis. Its description in RNAcentral is "SSU rRNA". It matches the Rfam family "Eukaryotic small subunit ribosomal RNA", at positions 612 to 1200 of the family's 1831-position model. Lineage: Eukaryota; Tubulinea; Echinamoebida; Vermamoebidae. The record is from RNAcentral.